Molecule: ribosomal RNA, 305 nt
Filed under: uncultured bacterium
Lineage: Bacteria
Description: bacterial SSU rRNA
Rfam family: Bacterial small subunit ribosomal RNA
Source: RNAcentral
CUUUUCCUACGGGGCGCAGCAGUGGGGAAUAUUGCACAAUGGGCGAAAGCCUGAUGCAGCAACGCCGCGUGAAGGAGGAAGGUCUUCGGAUCGUAAACUUCUGUCCUUGGGGAAGAUAAUGACGGUACCCUUGGAGGAAGCCCCGGCUAACUACGUGCCAGCAGCCGCGGUAAUACGUAGGGGGCAAGCGUUAUCCGGAAUUAUUGGGCGUAAAGAGUGCGUAGGUGGUUACUUAAGCGCGGGGUUUAAGUCAAUGGCUCAACCAUUGUUCGCCCUGCGACCUGGGUUACUUGAGUGCAGUAGAG